RNAcentral lists this ribosomal RNA (584 nucleotides) under uncultured bacterium. RNAcentral's name for it is "partial 16S ribosomal RNA". It matches the Rfam family "Bacterial small subunit ribosomal RNA", at positions 355 to 1375 of the family's 1533-position model. The record is from RNAcentral.
UGGGGAAUUUUGGACAAUGGGCGAAAGCCUGAUCCAGCAAUGCCGCGUGUGUGAAGAAGGCCUUCGGGUUGUAAAGCACUUUUGUCCGGAAAGAAAUCCUUGGCUCUAAUACAGUCGGGGGAUGACGGUACCGGAAGAAUAAGCACCGGCUAACUACGUGCCAGCAGCCGCGGUAAUACGUAGGGUGCAAGCGUUAAUCGGAAUUACUGGGCGUAAAGCGUGCGCAGGCGGUUUGCUAAGACCGAUGUGAAAUCCCCGGGCUCAACCUGGGAACUGCAUUGGUGACUGGCAGGCUAGAGUAUGGCANAGGGGGGUAGAAUUCCACGUGUAGCAGUGAAAUGCGUAGAGAUGUGGAGGAAUACGAUGGCGAAGGCAGCCCCCUGGGCCAAUACUGACGCUCAUGCACGAAAGCGUGGGGAGCAAAACAGGAUUAGUACCCGGGGUAGUCCACGCCCUAAACGAUGUCAACUAGUUGUUGGGGAUUCAUUCCUUAGUAACGUAGCUAACGCGUGAAGUUGACCGCCUGGGGAGUACGGUCGCAAGAUUAAAACUCAAAGGAAUUGACGGGGUCAUAGCUGUUUCCU